AUGGCGGGCGUGGGCCUGUCGGCGGCCGCCGUGGGUUGGGUUCCGUGUCGGAGCUGGGUCUUCGCGUCUCUCGUCCCCCACGCUUGCAGGAAAAUGGCAUCACUCUCUUUCCUUAAUCGACCCGGCCUUCCAAACCUGGCGUACAAGAGUUUAAAAGGCAAAACACCGGGAAUUAUCUUCAUCCCUGGUUAUCUUUCUACUAUGAAUGGUACAAAAGCAUUGGCCAUUGAGGAAUUUUGCAAAUCUGUAGGUCACGCCUAUAUAAGGUUUGACUAUUCAGGAGUUGGAAAUUCAGAUGGUAACUUAAAAGAUUGCACUGUGGGGAAAUGGAGAAAAGAUGUGCUUUCUAUACUUGAUGAUAUAGCCAAAGGACCGCAGAUUCUAAUUGGUUCUAGUCUUGGUGGAUGGCUUAUGCUUCAUGCUGCAGUUGCACGGCCAGAAAAGGUUGUGGCUCUUAUUGGUGUAGCUACAGCUACAGAUGCUCUAGUGACACAGUUCCGUCAGCUUCCUGUUGAGGUACAAAAGGAAGUUGAGAUGAAAGGUGUUUGGUCCAUGCCAUCAAAAUACACUGAGGAAGGAUAUCAUCACAUUCAGUACAGUUUCAUUAAGGAAGCAGAGCACCAUUGCUUGUUACACAGCCCUAUUUCCGUGCACUGUCCUGUAAGAUUGCUCCAUGGCAUGAUGGAUGACGUAAUCCCUUGGCAUACGUCCAUGCAGGUUGCUGACCGACUACUUAGCACAGAUGUUGAUGUCAUCCUCAGGAAACACAGUGAUCAUGAAAUGAAGGAAAAGGCAGACAUUCAACUUCUUGUGUACACGAUUGACGAUUUAAUUGAGAAGCUCUCAUCCAUGCCACAAUAGAAGCCCAUUUUCAGUUGGUGUGUAAUGUGUCCAGAAGAGAGGGCUAACAAGGACCCUCAUAAGGCUUUUUCCUCUCACUUCUAUUUUGUAAAUAUAAGUAUUUAUUUAAUGAUGUCUCUGCACAGUAAAUACAAAUGAAAUGACAGUAUCUGCUACUGUGGCUGCUGUUGGGAAAAUUUUCUCCUGCAAUUUUUGAUAUUUUUUUUUCCAUUAAAACAUUUCCUUUUUUAAAAAACACAGGACAUGUUUAUCUUAUUCAUAUGUUAACUUUUGUCAUCCUUUGUGUUCUCUCCUCUUUAGAAUUACAAUAAAGCUUUAAUAUUUUC
Molecule: RNA transcript, 1187 nt
Organism: Dipodomys ordii (Ord's kangaroo rat)
Lineage: Eukaryota; Metazoa; Chordata; Mammalia; Rodentia; Heteromyidae
Gene name: mycophenolic acid acyl-glucuronide esterase, mitochondrial pseudogene
Exons: 1
Source: RefSeq, a predicted model, not a curated record